RNAcentral lists this ribosomal RNA (465 nucleotides) under Vreelandella stevensii. RNAcentral describes it as "partial 16S ribosomal RNA". It matches the Rfam family "Bacterial small subunit ribosomal RNA", at positions 338 to 795 of the family's 1533-position model. The record is from RNAcentral. Lineage: Bacteria; Pseudomonadati; Pseudomonadota; Gammaproteobacteria; Oceanospirillales; Halomonadaceae.
CCUACGGGGGGCUGCAGUGGGGAAUAUUGGACAAUGGGGGCAACCCUGAUCCAGCCAUGCCGCGUGUGUGAAGAAGGCCCUCGGGUUGUAAAGCACUUUCAGUGAGGAAGAACGCCUGGUGGUUAAUACCCAUCAGGAAAGACAUCACUCACAGAAGAAGCACCGGCUAACUCCGUGCCAGCAGCCGCGGUAAUACGGAGGGUGUGAGCGUUAAUCGGAAUUACUGGGCGUAAAGCGCGCGUAGGUGGCUUGAUAAGCCGGUUGUGAAAGCCCCGGGCUCAACCUGGGAACGGCAUCCGGAACUGUCAAGCUAGAGUGCAGGAGAGGAAGGUAGAAUUCCCGGUGUAGCGGUGAAAUGCGUAGAGAUCGGGAGGAAUACCAGUGGCGAAGGCGGCCUUCUGGACUGACACUGACACUGAGGUGCGAAAGCGUGGGUAGCAAACAGGAUUAGAUACCCUUGUAGUC